This 227-nucleotide ribosomal RNA is filed under the name uncultured bacterium. RNAcentral's name for it is "partial 16S ribosomal RNA". It matches the Rfam family "Bacterial small subunit ribosomal RNA", at positions 113 to 334 of the family's 1533-position model. The record is from RNAcentral.
CGACGUGGUAACCUAGCCUUGUAGCGGGGGAGUAACUAUUGAAACGAAUAGCUAAUACCGCAUAACAAUGGAUGACACAUGUCAUUUAUUUGAAAGGGGCAAUUGCUCCACUACAAGAUGGACCUGCGUUGUAUUAGCUAGUAGGUGAGGUAACGGCUCACCUAGGCGACGAUACAUAGCCGACCUGAGAGGGUGAUCGGCCACACUGGGACUGAGACACGGCCCAG